RNAcentral lists this ribosomal RNA (305 nucleotides) under uncultured bacterium. RNAcentral's name for it is "bacterial SSU rRNA". It matches the Rfam family "Bacterial small subunit ribosomal RNA", at positions 334 to 641 of the family's 1533-position model. The record is from RNAcentral.
CGUUCCUACGGGAGGCAGCAGUGGGGAAUAUUGCACAAUGGGGGAAACCCUGAUGCAGCGACGCCGCGUGAGUGAAGAAGUAUCUCGGUACGUAAAGCUCUAUCAGCAGGGAAGAAAAAAAGUCUUUGGCUUUGGACGGUACCUGACUAAGAAGCCCCGGCUAACUACGUGCCAGCAGCCGCGGUAAUACGUAGGGGGCAAGCGUUAUCCGGAUUUACUGGGUGUAAAGGGAGCGCAGGCGGCCUGGCAAGCCUGAUGUGAACUACCGGGGCCCAACCCCGGGGCUGCAUUGGGAACUGCCAGGG